This 211-nucleotide unclassified non-coding RNA is filed under the name Hevea brasiliensis (rubber tree). Lineage: Eukaryota; Viridiplantae; Streptophyta; Magnoliopsida; Malpighiales; Euphorbiaceae. The record is from RNAcentral.
GAUAAUUGGGAACUUCCUAAAGUCUAGAAAUAUCAGAUCUAUAAGCAAAGCAAGUUUAACUUCCUUAGCAAAACUGAUUAUAGCAUCAAAACUGAAGAAAGAGAUAGAUCCACAUAGGAUUAGUCCAGGUAGGAAUAAAGCCCUUGUCCAAAGAAGUUCUUAACACCUCUAUCUUGGUUGUCCUUCGAGAUGCACGAUUCCAUAACUUUCA